GCACCGAUAGCUCAGCUGGAUAGAGUACUUGGCUACGAACCAAGAGGUCAGAGGUUCGAAUCCUCUUCGGUGCG
Molecule: transfer RNA, 74 nt
Filed under: Chlamydiales bacterium
Lineage: Bacteria; Pseudomonadati; Chlamydiota; Chlamydiia; Chlamydiales
Also listed under: 1 other name
Description: tRNA-Arg
Rfam family: tRNA
About the family: Transfer RNA (tRNA) molecules are approximately 80 nucleotides in length. Their secondary structure includes four short double-helical elements and three loops (D, anti-codon, and T loops). Further hydrogen bonds mediate the characteristic L-shaped molecular structure. tRNAs have two regions of fundamental functional importance: the anti-codon, which is responsible for specific mRNA codon recognition, and the 3' end, to which the tRNAs corresponding amino acid is attached (by aminoacyl-tRNA synthetases). tRNAs cope with the degeneracy of the genetic code in two manners: having more than one tRNA (with a specific anti-codon) for a particular amino acid; and 'wobble' base-pairing, i.e. permitting non-standard base-pairing at the 3rd anti-codon position.
Source: RNAcentral